Ceraceosorus guamensis is the source of this 71-nucleotide non-coding RNA. The record is from the annotation of a RefSeq genome assembly. NCBI's taxonomy places the organism in Eukaryota, Fungi, Basidiomycota, Exobasidiomycetes, Ceraceosorales, Ceraceosoraceae.
GAGGAUUUAGUUGAGUGGUUUAACGCCGUUUUUACACGACGGAAAGAGAGGUUCAAUUCCUCUAAUCCUUA